RNAcentral lists this unclassified non-coding RNA (136 nucleotides) under uncultured Ascomycota. RNAcentral's name for it is "sequence contains ITS2". The record is from RNAcentral. Lineage: Eukaryota; Fungi; Ascomycota.
CAACCAUCAAGCACUGCUUGGUAUUGGAUGCAACUUGCUUGUGCAUCUUAAAAACAUUGGCGGCAGCAUUUAGCUUCUAGCGUAGUAAAUUUCUCGCUCUGGAGCUUAGAUUCAUGCCUGCCAGAACCAUUUCAAA